UACGGAGGGUGCGAGCGUUGUCCGGAAUUACUGGGCGUAAAGCGUGCGCAGGCGGCGCGUUAAGACAGGUGUGAAAGCCCCGAGCUUAACUUGGGAAUUGCGCUUGUGACUGGCGGGCUUGAGUAUGGCAGAGGGGGGUGGAAUUCCGCGUGUAGCAGUGAAAUGCGUAGAGAUGCGGAGGAACACCGAUGGCGAAGGCAGCCCCCUGGGCCAAUACUGACGCUCAGGCACGAAAGCGUGGGGAGCAAACAGG
RNAcentral lists this ribosomal RNA (253 nucleotides) under uncultured bacterium. Its description in RNAcentral is "partial 16S ribosomal RNA". It matches the Rfam family "Bacterial small subunit ribosomal RNA", at positions 524 to 776 of the family's 1533-position model. The record is from RNAcentral.